CAGUCGCCGCGGUAAUACGUAGGUCCCGAGCGUUGUCCGGAUUUAUUGGGCGUAAAGCGAGCGCAGGCGGUUAGAUAAGUCUGAAGUUAAAGGCUGUGGCUUAACCAUAGUACGCUUUGGAAACUGCCUAACUUGAGUGCAAGAGGGGAGAGUGGAAUUCCAUGUGUAGCGGUGAAAUGCGUAGAUAUAUGGAGGAACACCGGUGGCGAAAGCGGCUCUCUGGCUUGUAACUGACGCUGAGGCUCGAAAGCGUGGGGAGCAAACAGGAUUAGAGACCCCCGUAGUCCCUGUCUCUUAUACA
Molecule: ribosomal RNA, 301 nt
Filed under: uncultured bacterium
Lineage: Bacteria
Description: partial 16S ribosomal RNA
Rfam family: Bacterial small subunit ribosomal RNA
Source: RNAcentral